This 497-nucleotide ribosomal RNA is filed under the name uncultured bacterium. RNAcentral's name for it is "partial 16S ribosomal RNA". It matches the Rfam family "Bacterial small subunit ribosomal RNA", at positions 28 to 507 of the family's 1533-position model. The record is from RNAcentral.
GAUGAACGCUGGCGGCGUGCCUAAUACAUGCAAGUCGAGCGAACGGACGAGAAGCUUGCUUCUCUGAUGUUAGCGGCGGACGGGUGAGUAACACGUGGAUAACCUACCUAUAAGACUGGGAUAACUUCGGGAAACCGGAGCUAAUACCGGAUAAUAUUUUGAACCGCAUGGUUCAAAAGUGAAAGACGGUCUUGCUGUCACUUAUAGAUGGAUCCGCGCUGCAUUAGCUAGUUGGUAAGGUAACGGCUUACCAAGGCAACGAUGCAUAGCCGACCUGAGAGGGUGAUCGGCCACACUGAAACUGAGACACGGUCCAGACUCCUACGGGAGGCAGCAGUAGGGAAUCUUCCGCAAUGGGCGAAAGCCUGACGGAGCAACGCCGCGUGAGUGAUGAAGGUCUUCGGAUCGUAAAACUCUGUUAUUAGGGAAGAACAUAUGUGUAAGUAACUGUGCACAUCUUGACGGUACCUAAUCAGAAAGCCACGGCUAACUACGUG